RNAcentral lists this ribosomal RNA (207 nucleotides) under uncultured bacterium. RNAcentral describes it as "partial 16S ribosomal RNA". It matches the Rfam family "Bacterial small subunit ribosomal RNA", at positions 568 to 774 of the family's 1533-position model. The record is from RNAcentral.
CGUGUAGGCGGUCGAUCAAGUCGGGUGUGAAAGCCCUCGGCUCAACCGAGGAAUCGCAUCCGAUACUGGUCGACUGGAGUGCGGCAGGGGUAAGUGGAACUCCAGGUGUAGCGGUGAAAUGCGUAGAUAUCUGGAGGAACGCCGGUGGCGAAAGCGACUUACUGGGCCGCAACUGACGCUGAGGCGCGAAAGCCAGGGGAGCGAACG